AUUGAACGCUGGCGGCAGGCCUAACACAUGCAAGUCGAGCGGAUGACGGGAGCUUGCUCCUUGAUUCAGCGGCGGACGGGUGAGUAAUGCCUAGGAAUCUGCCUGGUAGUGGGGGACAACGUUUCGAAAGGAACGCUAAUACCGCAUACGUCCUACGGGAGAAAGCAGGGGACCUUCGGGCCUUGCGCUAUCAGAUGAGCCUAGGUCGGAUUAGCUAGUUGGUGAGGUAAUGGCUCACCAAGGCGACGAUCCGUAACUGGUCUGAGAGGAUGAUCAGUCACACUGGAACUGAGACACGGUCCAGACUCCUACGGGAGGCAGCAGCGGGGAAUAUUGGACAAUGGGCGAAAGCCUGAUCCAGCCAUGCCGCGUGUGUGAAGAAGGUCUUCGGAUUGUAAAGCACUUUAAGUUGGGAGGAAGGGCAGUAAGUUAAUACCUUGCUGUUUUGACGUUACCGACAGAAUAAGCACCGGCUAACUCUGUGCCAGCAGCCGCGGUAA
This 500-nucleotide ribosomal RNA is filed under the name uncultured bacterium. Its description in RNAcentral is "partial 16S ribosomal RNA". It matches the Rfam family "Bacterial small subunit ribosomal RNA", at positions 30 to 523 of the family's 1533-position model. The record is from RNAcentral.